GAGAGAUGAGAGACAUGUAUACAGUGAGAACACUCAGUUCCAUAAACUUUGUGUUGCUUCGUGCUUCGUGCUUCAUGUUGAUUCAUGAUUUAUCUGUAUAGAAACGAAGAGAGUAAACUAUGGAAAA
Molecule: long non-coding RNA, 127 nt
Organism: Mya arenaria
Lineage: Eukaryota; Metazoa; Mollusca; Bivalvia; Myida; Myidae
Exons: 2
Source: RefSeq, a predicted model, not a curated record